This 276-nucleotide ribosomal RNA is filed under the name uncultured bacterium. RNAcentral describes it as "partial 16S ribosomal RNA". It matches the Rfam family "Bacterial small subunit ribosomal RNA", at positions 68 to 339 of the family's 1533-position model. The record is from RNAcentral.
AGCAUGAUUGAAGCUUGCUUCAAUUGAUGGCGACCGGCGCACGGGUGAGUAACGCGUAUGCAACCUGCCCGAUACCGGGGUAUAGCCCAUGGAAACGUGGAUUAACACCCCAUAGUACUUUUAUCCUGCAUGGGAUGUGAGUUAAAUGUUCAAGGUAUCGGGAUGGGGCAUGCGUCCUAUUAGUUAGUUGGCCGGGGGUAACAGCCCACCAAGACGAUGGAUAGGGGUUCUGAGAGGAAGGUCCCCACAUUGGAACUGAGACACGGUCCAAACUCC